RNAcentral lists this ribosomal RNA (1023 nucleotides) under Triticum aestivum (bread wheat). RNAcentral describes it as "partial small subunit ribosomal RNA". The record is from RNAcentral. Lineage: Eukaryota; Viridiplantae; Streptophyta; Magnoliopsida; Poales; Poaceae.
AUGGACAGCAGCAACUCCAACAAGAGGAGAGGCGAAGCUCCGAGAGAGGGAGACCGCUGGAUGGAUGUCAGAAUAUUGAAGGAGACCCUUGACUGCACAGUCUGCUUUGAGCACUUCAGCACUGAGAUUUAUCAGUGUUCUGUGGGGCAUUUCAUAUGCUCGUCUUGCCGCGACAAGAUACUGGACAAGAAGUGCCCCACGUGCUCUAUCAAAACUUCCUUCAACCGCUGCUUUGGGAUGGAACAUGUUGUCCGGUCAGUUGCAUUUCCUUGCUCCAAUGCCAAGUAUGGAUGCAGAGAGGGUCACGCAUACUAUCAGAAAGAAAGACACGAGCAGGUAUGCCCGUAUGGCCCAUGCUUCUGCCCAGCGUCCGACUGCGGCUUUGGUGGGCUGACACCCGAGCUCCUGGACCAUCUCACCAUCUAUCACAUGUCUCCAUGUACCGACCUCCCAUAUCAUGGGACGGUGGCUCUCCGCUUAGAACCGGGCAUACAUGUUCUGGCACCCCGCAACAAGAGCAACAACCAUUUUUUCAUGAUCAACAUGGAGCCAGAGCGGCUUGGAUAUGCUAUCUCAGUCGUCUGCGUCCAACCUAAAGCUACGGAGCCCAAGUUCGCAUGUAGUAUGAGUUAUGACUGCUCUGGGACAGGUUAUUGUGGAAGUGCAAGUUGCCAAAUAAAAAGCUCUACACUCUCUGAUGGGCUACCGACGGACUACGACUUAAUUCCACCCAAGAGAAAAAUUUCUGGUGAUCGAAAAUUUAUCAUGCUGAGAAUCACCAUUCAUCAAGCUUCAAGUGUCAGCAAAUCCCGUGUUAAAGGAAAGGGCCUGACUUCUGCUCCAUUGACCCUGUUUCCUCGUUGUUCUGAUGAAGAUGCUGAUAUAGUCUGCAGAUCCUGUAUUGAAGGAAAGGGCCCGACUUCCUCUCAAAAGCUACUGUUUCCUGAUUGUUCUUCUGAUGACGAUGAUGAUGUGCCCUCAAGAUUCGAGCGUGCUCUCCAACGGGUGUCCCUGCUUGAUUAA